CAGUAGCCGCGGGAAUACGUAGGUGGCAAGCGUUGUCCGGAAUUAUUGGGCGUAAAGGGCUCGCAGGCGGUUUCUUAAGUCUGAUGUGAAAGCCCCCGGCUCAACCGGGGAGGGUCAUUGGAAACUGGGAAACUUGAGUGCAGAAGAGGAGAGUGGAAUUCCACGUGUAGCGGUGAAAUGCGUAGAGAUGUGGAGGAACACCAGUGGCGAAGGCGACUCUCUGGUCUGUAACUGACGCUGAGGAGCGAAAGCGUGGGGAGCGAACAGGAUUAGAUACCCCAGUAGUCCCUGUCUCUUAUAU
This 301-nucleotide ribosomal RNA is filed under the name uncultured bacterium. RNAcentral's name for it is "partial 16S ribosomal RNA". It matches the Rfam family "Bacterial small subunit ribosomal RNA", at positions 509 to 809 of the family's 1533-position model. The record is from RNAcentral.